Molecule: ribosomal RNA, 121 nt
Filed under: Gossypium aridum
Lineage: Eukaryota; Viridiplantae; Streptophyta; Magnoliopsida; Malvales; Malvaceae
Source: RNAcentral
GGGUGCGAUCAUACCAGCACCCGGGUACCGGAUCCCAUCAGAACUACGCAGUUAAGCGUGCUUGGGCGAGAGUAGUACUAGGAUGGGUGACCUCCUGGGAAGUCCUCGNGUUGCGCCCCUC